This 253-nucleotide ribosomal RNA is filed under the name uncultured bacterium. RNAcentral describes it as "partial 16S ribosomal RNA". It matches the Rfam family "Bacterial small subunit ribosomal RNA", at positions 524 to 776 of the family's 1533-position model. The record is from RNAcentral.
GACGAACCGUACGAACGUUAUUCGGAAUUACUGGGCUUAAAGGGUGCGUAGGCUGUGCGGAAAGUUGGGCGUGAAAUACCUCAGCUUAACUGAGGAACUGCGUUCAAAACUACCGUGCUUGAGGGGGACAGAGGUAAGCGGAACUGAGGGUGGAGCGGUGAAAUGCGUUGAUAUCCUCAGGAACACCGGUGGCGAAAGCGGCUUACUGGGUCUCUUCUGACGCUGAUGCACGAAAGCUAGGGUAGCAAACGGG